CCUACGGGAGGCAGCAGUGAGGAAUAUUGGUCAAUGGGCGCGAGCCUGAACCAGCCAAGUAGCGUGAAGGAUGACUGCCCUAUGGGUUGUAAACUUCUUUUAUAAAGGAAUAAAACGUUGCACGUGUGCCUUUUUGCAUGUACUUUAUGAAUAAGGAUCGGCUAACUCCGUGCCAGCAGCCGCGGUAAUACGGAGGAUCCGAGCGUUAUCCGGAUUUAUUGGGUUUAAAGGGAGCGUAGGUGUGUUGUUAAGUCAGUUGUGAAAGUUUGCGGCUCAACCGUAAAAUUGCAGUUGAUACUGGCAGUCUUGAGUACAGUAGAGGUAAGCGGAAUUCGUGGUGUAGCGGUGAAAUGCUUAGAUAUCACGAAGAACCCCGAUUGCGAAGGCAGCUUACUAGACUGUGACUGACAUUGAGGCUCGAAAGUGUGGGUAUCAAACAGGAUUAGAUACCCCAGUAGUC
RNAcentral lists this ribosomal RNA (460 nucleotides) under uncultured bacterium. RNAcentral describes it as "partial 16S ribosomal RNA". It matches the Rfam family "Bacterial small subunit ribosomal RNA", at positions 338 to 795 of the family's 1533-position model. The record is from RNAcentral.